ACCACCACCACCAUCAUCAUCCCCACCAUCACCGUCACCAUCAUCAGCAUCAGCAUCAUCAUAUAACAAAUUGGAACUUUUCCUAGUAAUGCAGUUUCCCAUUACUGUUAUGGACACAGGCUAUUCCUGUGAGCAACAGGGCUCAAGCCCGUAGGAGACACCACAGAAAAUGCUUUAAAGUUAUCGAACCAAAGGGUGAAACAGUUGAGAUUUUUUUUCCAGCUUUCCAUCUGUCAUUGAUUUGAUGGCUGCUUGCGAGGACAUUAAUUUUCUGGUGCUUCUGGCUUGCUCUGCGUGUCGGCCACGUGUGCUCCCUCAGCCAGAAAAAUAAAAAUAGCCCUUAUGUGAUUGCAGUAAGAAAACUUGAUCUUUUAGAGGUGAAUUCUGAGGGGAUACGAACACCGAAACCACAACAUCUUCUACGGAGGCACAUACCUGAAAUACGUCUGUCAUAAGACGGAUUCAAGCUGGCGGGCCCGGGUUUGAAUGCUGAUUUGCUACAUAAUCUUGAUUAAAGCUCGUAAAUUUUUAUAGCCUCGGUGUCUUCAUCUAUAAACAAAAACAAUGCCUCCAUUAAAGGACACUUGUACAGAUUAGAUGGGGCUAUGAAUGUAUAGAUUAACGCAGGAUUAAGCACUUAUGAUAGCCUAAUGACUAGAAACUUGUUGUUCAGUAUUUACUAAGUAUGUACUAUGUGCCAAGCCCGUGGUAGAUGUUAGAGACGGAGAUGAAUAAAACAAAUGCAAAACCU
This is a long non-coding RNA of Lynx canadensis (Canada lynx), 751 nucleotides long. RefSeq lists it as uncharacterized. Lineage: Eukaryota; Metazoa; Chordata; Mammalia; Carnivora; Felidae. The record is from RefSeq and is a predicted model, not a curated record. The transcript has 2 exons.